This 72-nucleotide transfer RNA is filed under the name Camelus bactrianus (Bactrian camel). It matches the Rfam family "tRNA". From Rfam's summary of the family: Transfer RNA (tRNA) molecules are approximately 80 nucleotides in length. Lineage: Eukaryota; Metazoa; Chordata; Mammalia; Artiodactyla; Camelidae. The record is from Rfam by way of RNAcentral. RNAcentral also lists the same sequence under 1 other name.
GAGGGUGUAGCUCAGUGGUAGAGCAUGUGCUUAGCAUGCACAAGGUCCUGGGUUCAAUCCUCAGUACUGCCA